GCUUUCAUAGGCCAAUUGCACUCACAAACCUCAUUCGGCUAGUGACACAUUGAAGGAUUUUCGCCAAUAAGUCUCUUUCAUUUUUCUUUCUCUCAGCUCACCAUUGCCUUGUGGUGUCCGUGAGGGUUUUCACUAAUGAGACUCUUUUAUUUUUAUUUCUCUCAUCUUAGAAUCAUCUCAUGGUGCCCGUGAGGGUUUUCACCGAUAAGACUCUCUCAUUUUUAUCUCUCUUAACUUACCCUUGCCUUACGGUACCCGUGAGGAUUUUCACCGAUAAGAAUAUCUCAUUUUUAUUUAUCUCUUGAUUCCUUAUGCUGAGGAAGAAAAGCAGUACCCAAAAUGUGUCACCAUAUACAUUGCAUGCUUAGCCUUAACAUUCUUAAAUAUUGAUCUGAAGGUCUUUCGUUAGUUGUAACUUAGCUUUUGGAUAAGGUUAGAAAGAAAAAAUGGCAUGAGGCCCAAACGACACUUGAAGUGGGGCAGGACUUACAACUUUUGGAAUAGACUCAAAUAAUAAGGAUUAACUCAUGCCCCAAUUUCUUUUGGCUGGGUGAUUCUAAAUUGUUUAUUUGGCUAGACCGAGCCCAGAGUGGGGCAGCCUACAAAUCUCACCCCGAGAAAGGAGAAUCAGGUCACGCGUAGUUCCAAC
RNAcentral lists this long non-coding RNA (649 nucleotides) under Capsicum annuum. RNAcentral describes it as "long non-coding RNA (CANN_LNC007758)". Lineage: Eukaryota; Viridiplantae; Streptophyta; Magnoliopsida; Solanales; Solanaceae. The record is from RNAcentral.